GCCAGGGGCGGUGGUGCACACCUGUAAUCCCAGCUGCUCGGGAGGCUGAGGCAGGAGGAUCGUGAGUUCAAAGCCAGCCUUGGCUAAAAGCGAGGAGUUAAGCAACUCAGUGAGACCCUGUCUCUA
RNAcentral lists this small RNA (126 nucleotides) under Marmota monax (woodchuck). Lineage: Eukaryota; Metazoa; Chordata; Mammalia; Rodentia; Sciuridae. The record is from RNAcentral.